CUCUGAGGCGGGGCUUCGGGCCUCGGGCCCCGCCCCGCCCGCCGCGGGCAGAGGGGUUUCUGGGAAGGGCCUGCGAGAGGGCUGAGCGCUCAGAAAGCGGCGCCUAGGAGACCCGCUCGCCGCACCGCCCGCCGCAGGGCCGCACGCCGCACCGCGCGGCUUCCCCUAGCCCUCUUGGCGGGGCCUGGCCCGCCCGCGAGCCCAGCUCCGCAUAUCUCGACCGGCCGUCCCCGCUGGCUCAGGUCUCCGAGACCCAGGCGACAGACACUCAGUACAGAUGGUCCGUGCCAUGCGGCUGCAGACCCUCCGUGCGCUGCCCAGAGACCCCCAUCAGCGUCAUGGACUCCCCUUCCAGGCUGAGCGGCCGUGCAGGCUCCAUAGUUGGGGCGUCCCCAGAAUCACCCAGACUUCACUGGAGCUGACCCUCGGCCUCUCAGCCUUUCCCGAGCCACCUCAGUUGUGAAAUGGCAGCGUUUUGCCAGAUAACGAUGCUUCCAUCUACGGAGUCACAAGAAUGACCACUGAAACUCUCUACACUUCCACUUUCCUGACUUCCUCCCAACAGUGAUGUCCUCAUCUAAGCCAUUUCAGCUGCCCUCAUUCAGUUGACAAAAAGGUACGAUUUCUCCAGGAUUUUAAAGGCCCCCUGAGAAGGAUGAGGGACAGAAGUCUCACCCUACUGCCCCUCCAAAGAUCCCCUGCCUCCUCCCAGGAUUGUCCACAGGCAGGACAUUGAGUAGAACCACAGGUCAUAGAGUCACUAUGCCAACCUUCCUGUCCAUUGUAAGGGUCAUCACAAGGGAUUCUGCUUCCUUGGGGUGGGGGAAGGGCCCAAAGCCAACCAUCUUUGCCUCUUCCCCCUCAGGGGAGGUACCAGGGAGGCUCACUGUGCACUGUGGUUAGAGGGCUAGAGGGGUGGAGGCCCCUGGGCAGCGGAGGCCGUGGGGGCUGUGGCCUGAGGGGGCCUGGAGUGGCCAGGGUCCAGCAGGGCUGUAUGUAUGGCCAGGUAAAUGGAGGGCAGUGGGCCCUGGGUACCCGGCCCCGGGCUCUCCCUGUUGCUGUUGCUGCUCCCUCCACUGCUGAGUGCAGGGAGCUUCCAGCAUGAUGUCCUGAACUGGAGAAAUUUCCGCCACCUUGACUUUGGCUGGAAAACCAUUCACCGCUACCUCAGCCCAGACUGGGGAAGCCUCCGCAGGAGCGUCAGGAGCAAGGCGAGCAAGCUGCACGACUGUGACGGUGCCUUUGACUUCUAUUUGGUCUUGGAUGCGUCGCCCAGCCAAGGCAACACCUGGAAUGAAAUUUGUGAUUUAACAGAAAGGUUGCUGAAGAGGUUUACAAAGUAUGGCUGGUGUUUUUCCCUGCCAGACAGAGCACACAGCUCUUUACAGUCGGCGAAAGUGGGAGUCCUUCGGUUUCAGGAGCAGAGAGCCCUAGGUGGUGUUCUGAGGCAGAAAGAAUUACCAAUCACACUGAUCUUACCAGGUCCCAAUAGCUCAGUCGGUAAAGAGUCUGCCUGCAGUGCAGGAGACCUGGGUUC
Molecule: long non-coding RNA, 1537 nt
Organism: Capra hircus (goat)
Lineage: Eukaryota; Metazoa; Chordata; Mammalia; Artiodactyla; Bovidae
Exons: 4
Source: RefSeq, a predicted model, not a curated record